CACCAGGUUGAUAGGCCGGAUCUGGAAGGAUGGUGACAUCCGUAGGAGACCGGUACUAAUGGGUCGAGGGCUUGACGGA
Molecule: ribosomal RNA, 79 nt
Filed under: Solirubrobacterales bacterium
Lineage: Bacteria; Bacillati; Actinomycetota; Thermoleophilia; Solirubrobacterales
Description: partial 23S ribosomal RNA
Rfam family: Bacterial large subunit ribosomal RNA
Source: RNAcentral